RNAcentral lists this small RNA (128 nucleotides) under Arabidopsis thaliana (thale cress). RNAcentral describes it as "ATSL060280". Lineage: Eukaryota; Viridiplantae; Streptophyta; Magnoliopsida; Brassicales; Brassicaceae. The record is from RNAcentral.
AAAAAGAAAAUAAAAAGAGCUCAGUACAAGGCUUAUAUAACAUCCGAAAGUUCAGAUGUGUUCAAUGGACCCAACCAUUGCAGAAACCUAAAUCCUCACAGCUCAAUGCACCAGCCGGGAAUCGAACC